GCGGCGUGCUUAACACAUGCAAGUCGAACGGAAAGGCCCUGCUUUUGUGGGGUGCUCGAGUGGCGAACGGGUGAGUAACACGUGAGUAACCUGCCCUUGACUUUGGGAUAACUUCAGGAAACUGGGGCUAAUACCGGAUAGGAGCUCCUGCUGCAUGGUGGGGGUUGGAAAGUUUCGGCGGUUGGGGAUGGACUCGCGGCUUAUCAGCUUGUUGGUGGGGUAGUGGCUUACCAAGGCUUUGACGGGUAGCCGGCCUGAGAGGGUGACCGGCCACAUUGGGACUGAGAUACGGCCCAGACUCCUACGGGAGGCAGCAGUGGGGAAUAUUGCACAAUGGGCGGAAGCCUGAUGCAGCAACGCCGCGUGCGGGAUGACGGCCUUCGGGUUGUAAACCGCUUUCGCCUGUGACGAAGCGUGAGUGACGGUAAUGGGUAAAGAAGCACCGGCUAACUACGUGCCAGCAGCCGCGGUGAUACGUAGGGUGCGAGCGUUGUCCGGAUUUAUUGGGCGUAAAGGGCUCGUAGGUGGUUGAUCGCGUCGGAAGUGUAAUCUUGGGGCUUAACCCUGAGCGUGCUUUCGAUACGGGUUGACUUGAGGAAGGUAGGGGAGAAUGGAAUUCCUGGUGGAGCGGUGGAAUGCGCAGAUUUCAGGAGGAACACCAGUGGCGAAGGCGGUUCUCUGGGCCUUUCCUGACGCUGAGGAGCGAAAGCGUGGGGGAGCGAACAGGCUUAGAUACCCUGGUAGUCCACGCUGUAAACGGUGGGUACUAGGUGUGGGGUCCAUUCCACGGGUUCCGUGCCGUAGCUAACGCUUUAAGUACCCCGCCUGGGGAGUACGGCCGCAAGGCUAAAACUCAAAGGAAUUGACGGGGCCCCGCACAAGCGGCGGAGCAUGCGGAUUAAUUCGAUGCAACGCGUAGAACCUUACCUGGGUUUGACAUGGAUCGGGAGUGCUCAGAGAUGGGUGUGCCUCUUUUGGGGUCGGUUCACAGGUGGUGCAUGGCUGUCGUCAGCUCGUGUCGUGAGAUGUUGGGUUAAGUCCCGCAACGAGCGCAACCCUUGUUCACUGUUGCCAGCACGUUAUGGUGGGGACUCAGUGGAGACCGCCGGGGUCAACUCGGAGGAAGGUGGGGAUGACGUCAAGUCAUCAUGCCCCUUAUGUCCAGGGCUUCACGCAUGCUACAAUGGCUGGUACAGAGAGUGGCGAGCCUGUGAGGGUGAGCGAAUCUCGGAAAGCCGGUCUCAGUUCGGAUUGGGGUCUGCAACUCGACCUCAUGAAGUCGGAGUCGCUAGUAAUCGCAGAUCAGCAACGCUGCGGUGAAUACGUUCCCGGGGCUUGUACACACCGCCCGUCAAGUCAUGAAAGUUGGUAACACCCGAAGCCGGUGGCCUAACCGUUGUGGGGGAGCCGUCGAAGGUGGGACUGGUGAUUAGG
RNAcentral lists this ribosomal RNA (1434 nucleotides) under uncultured organism. Its description in RNAcentral is "16S ribosomal RNA". It matches the Rfam family "Bacterial small subunit ribosomal RNA". The record is from RNAcentral.